UGAAACAAAAUUUGACCUUGUCAUCAAUUCAAUGCUACUAUUGUUCCCAAUUAAUGAUCCUUAAAUUACCAAAAUAUGUGAUCCUCCCAACCUCCACCUUAUAAAGUCUGUCCCUCUCUAUGGCAAUGGAUUUAGAUGAUGCAAAUUCAUUAGUUGAUGUAGAACAAGUAGAGUAUUUGUAAUCUUACAAAUAUUAGGAUUAGGAAAUCCAACACUAAAUAGGAAUCAAAUCACACAAAAUCCUAAACAAAAUAAA
This 256-nucleotide unclassified non-coding RNA is filed under the name Hevea brasiliensis (rubber tree). The record is from RNAcentral. Lineage: Eukaryota; Viridiplantae; Streptophyta; Magnoliopsida; Malpighiales; Euphorbiaceae.